RNAcentral lists this unclassified non-coding RNA (240 nucleotides) under Ascomycota sp. RNAcentral describes it as "partial contains small subunit ribosomal RNA, internal transcribed spacer 1, and 5.8S ribosomal RNA". The stretch from base 1 to 47 matches the Rfam family "Eukaryotic small subunit ribosomal RNA", at positions 1785 to 1831 of the family's 1831-position model. Lineage: Eukaryota; Fungi; Ascomycota. The record is from RNAcentral.
AAAGUCGUAACAAGGUUUCCGUAGGUGAACCUGCGGAAGGAUCAUUAUCUUUUGCUAGCAGCACUCCCUAGGCAUAGCCUGUGGGUUUGCUGUAGCAAUAAACCCUUGUCUAUGUAUACCUUUGUCUAUCCUUUGGCAGGCUUAGGUCUGCCAUAGGACCUACACAAUUCUCUCUAUAGUAGCCUAUAAUUCUGAACAUGAUUAAUAUUAUAACUUUCAACAAUGGAUCUCUUGGCUCUG